Regulatory RNA element from Pan troglodytes (chimpanzee), 46 nucleotides. It matches the Rfam family "Histone 3' UTR stem-loop". From Rfam's summary of the family: The mRNAs of metazoan histone genes lack a poly-A tail. 3' end processing occurs at a site between a highly conserved stem-loop (modelled by this family) and a purine rich region around 20 nts downstream (the histone downstream element, or HDE). The stem-loop is bound by a 31 kDa stem-loop binding protein (SLBP - also termed the histone hairpin binding protein, or HBP). NCBI's taxonomy places the organism in Eukaryota, Metazoa, Chordata, Mammalia, Primates, Hominidae. The record is from Rfam.
CCAAAGGCUCUUUUAAGAGCCACCCACCUGGUCGGAAGAGUUGCUG